This 1261-nucleotide long non-coding RNA is filed under the name Equus asinus (donkey). Its description in RNAcentral is "lncRNA (ENSEASG00005036607.1)". Lineage: Eukaryota; Metazoa; Chordata; Mammalia; Perissodactyla; Equidae. The record is from RNAcentral.
CUGCGGCCUGCUCCCCACCUCCUGGGCCAGAGCUGCCCCCCCUCCAUUCUGGCUCCUUCGAGUGUCUGGGACAGUGUGACAGGCAAGUGGAAUGGAGGGGAGGGACGAGUUCACUGCUCAGAGGGGGAAAUCGAGGCACAAAGCUGUUGAGUUAUGUCCCCAGGCGACACGGCCACUUCGGGACCAGGUCUGAAACCCAUAGCUGGUCCCUCGACUCUUCGUCAGCUCAGAGCCCGACUGGCCAUGGAAAGAGACGACUCAGCUUAUGUUCCCAACUGCCAGUGACCGAGGGGUGGCAUCGGCAGCACACACACGGGACUGCGAGGGCACUGGCUGGGACGCAGAUGUGGGAAACAAGGCACAGAGAGGGGCAGGCAUUCCUUCAAGUAACACAGCAGCUGAUGGAUGCACAGCAAACAACUGGAUGUCUUGGCUCCUCCCCAGGCUGCAGGGGGUGAAGGAAGGGGGUGUUGGGGAGCUGAGACCUGGGGCCUCCCCGUCCUAGGCCAAGCUGCGACCUUGGCCAGCUCGUGGUCUCCCGGCCCCCGCCCAGGGCCUCUCUGCCCCCCGACCACAGCUGGACCCGAGGAUCAGGCAGAUCAGCAGGGACGGGGGCUCCCUCCCCUCCGGCCUCUGCCCUCUCCCCCCCGCCAGAAGCCCCAAACCACGGGACCCCCGGGGCACCCCGACCGCGGUGCAGUGGAGAAGGUGGCCCCUCCCAGCUUCGCGUUUCCGAGUCCUGACCCACACACCUUGGCCCCACGGGGACUGAGGCGGCCGUGGGGAAGCGGGGCUGCAGAGGCUCCAGGUGGCGGGCGGCCGGAUGGAAAGGCAAAUCCAUACAAAGGAAAUGAGAAACGGAGUCGGGAACACGGGGACCCUGGGAAACAGACCCCACGGGGGCCUCUGAGUCAGUGAGAUGUCUCCCUCAGGGAAAGGUGGCACCACCCAGCGCAUGGUCAUCACGGGAGGAAGCAGUUUCUCCCGUCAUGCACAGCAACAGCUGCCAGAGUCGGGGGGCUCUGCCCUGGUCCCUCCCACACCCCCUCCUCCACAGCAGGAUUCUGUCUGAGGGGGGAGUAAACUAAGCAUGAACCUAGGAAUGAAUCUGAGUCUCUUUUGUUAGCUGUGUGACCUGGGGAAGUAACUUAACCUCUCUGAGUGGAAUAAGGGCAGCUGUAUGCCUGACAUAUAGUAGGUAUUCAUUAAAAUAGCCAUACUCUUCCUUUGUUUCCCCUUGAGAGGAAACUUCUGCUGCUCG